CCCGGCGACCGGCGCACGGGUGAGUAACACGUAUGCAACCUGGCCGUGACAGAUGGAUAACCGGGAGAAAUCCCGCCUAAUACAGCAUGACGCCGGGAAGGGACAUCCCUUUCCGGCCAAAGGGGGCGACUCCGGUCACGGAUGGGCAUGCGGCGCAUUAGGUAGUUGGUGGGGCAACGGCCCACCAAGCCGACGAUGCGUAGGGGUUCUGAGAGGAAGGUCCCCCACAUUGGAACCGAGACACGGCCCAAACUCCUACGGGAGGCAGCAG
RNAcentral lists this ribosomal RNA (271 nucleotides) under uncultured bacterium. Its description in RNAcentral is "partial 16S ribosomal RNA". It matches the Rfam family "Bacterial small subunit ribosomal RNA", at positions 87 to 354 of the family's 1533-position model. The record is from RNAcentral.